GACGAACGCUGGCGGCGUGCUUAACACAUGCAAGUCGAACGGAAAGGCCCUUCUUUUGUGGUGUGCUCGAGUGGCGAACGGGUGAGUAACACGUGAGUAACCUGCCCUUGACUUUGGGAUAACUUCAGGAAACUGGAGCUAAUACCGGACAGGAGCCCCUGCUGCAUGGUGGGGGUUGGAAUGUUUCGGCGGUUGGGGAUGGACUCGCGGCUUAUCAGCUUGUUGGUGGGGUAGUGGCUUACCAAGGCUUUGACGGCUAGCCGGCCUGAGUGGGUGACCGGCCACAUUGGGACUGAGAUACGGCCCAGAGUGCUACGGGAGGCAGCAGUGGGGAAUAUUGCACAAUGGGCGGGAGCCUGAGGCAGCAACGCCGCGUGCGGGAUGACGGCCUUCGGGUUGUAAACCGCUUUCGCCUGUGACGAAGCGUGAGUGACGGUAAUGGGUAAAGAAGCACCGGCUAACUACGUG
Molecule: ribosomal RNA, 468 nt
Filed under: uncultured bacterium
Lineage: Bacteria
Description: partial 16S ribosomal RNA
Rfam family: Bacterial small subunit ribosomal RNA
Source: RNAcentral